AUGGACCUAGAGAAUCGUGCUGCGCUCUGUGAUUCGGUCCAGUCCAAGGAACCCCACGUGUCUGGAGUGGAAGGAGGCUCGGUGACAUUCAGCUGUUCCUACAAUACCACCGAUUCUAGCGGCGUCUAUCUCUAUUGGUACCGUCAGUCUCCUAACCGAGCUCCGCAGUACAUUCUGCGGAGGGGGACAAAGCUGUACGCGUCUGACAGCGAAAAUGCGUAUUUCGCCCAGGAGAGGUUUUCUUCCCAGGCUGAGGGCAGCGCUACAAUCCUGAACAUCACAGCCCUGGAGCUGGCAGACACCGCGGUGUAUCUCUGCGCCUUGCAACGGGCACAGUGA
Molecule: non-coding RNA, 339 nt
Organism: Emys orbicularis (European pond turtle)
Lineage: Eukaryota; Metazoa; Chordata; Testudines; Emydidae
Source: the annotation of a RefSeq genome assembly